RNAcentral lists this transfer RNA (47 nucleotides) under Cobetia sp. RNAcentral's name for it is "tRNA-Thr". It matches the Rfam family "tRNA", at positions 1 to 46 of the family's 71-position model. From Rfam's summary of the family: Transfer RNA (tRNA) molecules are approximately 80 nucleotides in length. Lineage: Bacteria; Pseudomonadati; Pseudomonadota; Gammaproteobacteria; Oceanospirillales; Halomonadaceae. The record is from RNAcentral.
GCUCGUGUAGCUCAGGGGUAGAGCACACCCUUGGUAAGGGUGAGGUC